GUGGCCUUUUCUCAAGGUCCAGGUGUUGGUAGAUUUCAUCCUCGAGUGCAUCAUUCUAAAUUGGGAGGACUCGAAGGUUGUAGAGAGUUCGAAAAAAGAAGAGAACCCAGGGUCUAGCGAAAGCUCGAGAGGCGAAGAGGUAGACAUGGGAUCUGACCCAGAGGAGCUCUGGACAUUGCGCGUGGACGGUUCAUCAAGUGCGAUGUGAGCAGGGGCUGGACUUAUUCUAAUCAGU
Molecule: long non-coding RNA, 235 nt
Filed under: Elaeis guineensis (African oil palm)
Lineage: Eukaryota; Viridiplantae; Streptophyta; Magnoliopsida; Arecales; Arecaceae
Description: long non-coding RNA (EGUI_LNC021389)
Source: RNAcentral